Molecule: long non-coding RNA, 276 nt
Organism: Xenia sp. Carnegie-2017
Lineage: Eukaryota; Metazoa; Cnidaria; Anthozoa; Malacalcyonacea; Xeniidae
Exons: 2
Source: RefSeq, a predicted model, not a curated record
UGCCGCCUACAAUACGUUUCUUUCUUUCAUGUGAGUCCAAUGGAAGGCUGUUCACUGAGAAAUAAGCAGAGGUGUUGCAGAGCAAAUAGACAGAGAUCAAAAAUGCGCUUAACAGCCGUAAGAGUUAUGGCUCUCGUGGGCUUUAUGUUGUAAGUAGGCUGUGUUGAAACUUAUCAAACGUAAGAACGUAUACAAUUGUAUAGUAGUAUAAACAAAAUAACGCAUUUGCAUUGUUUGAAUUCAAAAUAUUAUGAAUUAAAAAAAAUUCCUCUCAUA